ACAGAAGAUUUGUGUAGGAAUAGCUAGAGGUCUAGUAUUUCUCCAUGAAGAAUCAGCACUUAGGAUCGUCCAUAGAGACAUCAAAGCAACAAAUGUCCUGCUUGAUAAGGACCUGAAUGCCAAGAUAUCAGAUUUUGGACUAGCAAAGCUCUGUGAGGAGGAGAAUACUCACAUUAGCACCAGGAUUGCGGGAACAGUGGGAUAUAUGGCUCCAGAAUAUGCACUCUGGGGUUACCUAACAGAGAAAGCUGAUGUUUACAGCUUUGGGAUGCUUUUUUUCCAGCUUUUGACAGGUAAACUUCCCUUUGAGGAUGGGCAUCUUCAAGGAGACCAAAUGACCAAAAACAUAAGAGCUGGGGAGAGGCCAUUAUUCCCAUCCCUGUCACCAAAAUUUCUUGUGAACUUGACCAAAAAAUGCUGGCAUAAUGACCCAAAUUAUAGACCAAGUUUCUCAUCUAUUUGUAGGGUUCUGAGAUACAUCAAGAAGUUCCUUGCGAUGAAGCCCAGCGAUGGUCAGCCUGUUAUGCAGUCACCACCUGUAGAUUACUCUGAAUUGGAGACAUGGUUUUUAAAGAAGCAUUCAGAGGAGGUGAACUGUGGUCUAGCCUCUGUUUCACAAAUUCCAUUCCAAAUGUUUGUUUACAGGCUUAUGGAGAAAGAAAAGACUUCUUUGGGUAUUAGAUUUAAGCAUUCAGAAACAAGUGAAGGUACCUCAAAUGGCGAGGAUGAGAAUACUUCUGUAGCGGAGGAUCCAAUUGCACCAGCAAUUGAUGCAAGAUCAGUUGGCUCUGACACGAAAACAGUUUGUUUUGAUAUGAGAUCUAUCUGCACCGAGCAGGAUCCAGACAGGAAAAUACCAUCUGAUUUGAUGUCCAUUCGUUCUGAGCCUGUUGAGAAGAAAAUUGUGCUGCGAAAGAAAAUUACCAACGUCAAGGUCAGAAAAACUCCAGGUAAGCCAAAGGAACCAGCACCAACAAAAACAUCUCCAUGGAGUCCGCCAGGCCAUACUGCUAAGUUUAGCCGAGACAAACCAUUGUCUACGAGCUCUUUUAGUCCAAGCAAGCACAGAUCAAAUGGACAAGCCCUAGCUCUUGAGAAAUCCUAGCUUUUAGCCAUAAGUCACCUCACCUUGCUCAAGAGUUGAUAUGCCUAUAUCACCUUUUGUUUUCCGUGGAAUCAUUGUAGUUUGCUUGUGUUAGAAGAAUACAGUUUUCUCCAUUUCUUAAUGGUCAAAAUUUGUUUAGGACCGUCGUCCAGUUGUCUAUGAAAUAUUGAUGCUUCACAUAAUACAGGUUUCAAUAUUUUGCCUUAAAGUUUCCACGUUUAAACAGCAGAUGAAGGGCAGAUUUUGUCAAAGUAACAGCUUGAUCACAAUUGUGCAUGAUUUUCCUAAACGAAAAUAUCAUAUACAUUUUUUUUCCUCAAAAUUUACAAUAUCUGGCUUUCCUACUUACAAUAUCCAAUACUUGGGAUACAGCACUAAAUAUUUUCCCCGCUUUUCUGAGCAUAUAAAUGUGGAAUUGCUUCAAAGCUAUCUUCUGAACAAAUUGCCUGUCUAGAAUUGCCAAUCCUUCGCUGAAAACUUGAAAGGACUGCACACCAAUUCUACAAAUGGUAGGAGGAGCAAAUGCACGGUUGCCUUAUUAGCAGUCAGAUGAUUUGGAGCUGCUCUUUCAAGAUUUAUUUUUAUCCAGGAUUGCCUUCAUCCCAACGCCAAUGCUAAUAUUGAUCUUGUUCUUCUUUGUUUUAUAUUCACCAGCAGCAUCACUAAUAUUCUGGAGUCCUUGCCUGCAAAUCUCAUCAGUCAUUUCCUGCACCUCUAACUGAAGAUCUGGAAUCAGAAUUUGUGACUAGAUGAAAGGUUGUAAUUCAGCUCUUUGGAUCCCUACUAUCUCAUACGGACAAGUAUAAUAGAUGAUGCAUUGGUUCUCAGAGUUUCACCUUGCAAACUUCACAGUUUUCAGUAUAUAAUUGGCCUACAGGUUCUGCAUUUCCCCAGCUGGAAACGAAGCAAGAGAAAUCUGAUUUCCUAAUUGAUUUAGGAAGGCUCCCUUUCCUUCAAACCAUUUGCAACACUUUGAUACACCCAGUUGAAUUGGCAGCAACAACCAUGUCUGAUUUCCCUCUCCAGCAGACACUAGAAACAAACUGCCCAUUGUCAUCAUCUGUCUCUUUCCCGGAAAUAGGAUCAAUUGAACCAAACUUGUGGGAUGUGAUUGGCAUGGGUAGAGAUCUGUAGUAAGCAUAAACCUCAUUUGUUUCUGAACCACAUGCCAUAUAACCAUCAGCAACAGAUAAACCCACGAAAUUCUGAAUAAGUAAGAAAUACAAAAUUAAAACGAACCCAUGGAAGUGAAAAUAGGAAAAUGAAAACAUACAGAACAACAGCAAUAAGAAUUAGCAACUGUCUGUGAAAUAUAGCUAAUGUAAAGGUUAAAACCUAGCAUGCAAACGCCAACCUUCUCAUUAGUGUGUCCACUAAAGGUUAAACUGCAAGCAUUGCUGGACAGGCCAGUAGAACUAGCUUUAGUGAGAUCCCAAAGUUUUAAGGAGUUGUCAGUGGAUGCAGUAACCAGAGUUUCAGGGUCCAAGAAUUUUGCAUAGCUCACUGCUUUGUCAUGACCAGUCAAUACACACCAGGGUGUUCUUAAAUUCCGAAGAUCAUAGCAAUAGGUUCUGCAAUCUGCUGACCCAAAUGCCAACAAAUGAGUUGAAUGAGAAGAGAACUGAACACAGCAGACAUUUGCAAUGCUCCUGAUUGUGUCUAAACUAUUUUUCUCGUUAAUGCUCCAAAGCUUCACAGAACAAUCAUCACUUCCACUGGCUAAUUUUGUUGGAUAUACUUGAGAAAAGUCAACAGACCAAGCCCUCCUUUCAUGUUCAUUAUAUUGAAAAAUCCCUUGACCAGUGCUUGCAUCCCAUAACUUUACAACACCAUCAUAGUCAGUUGAAGCCACAUAAUUCUUGAUGUAGCUAUUCCAGGAAAUACAGCUAAGCCUUGAUUUGUUCGACAUUUCAAUAACUGGAUAGUGAAUAUCAACAGAAUCAUUUAAGAGUGCAUUAAACUCAAAUAUCCUUAUUUUCUUCGAUACUCCAGCCGUGGCAAAGUAGUCGACAUCCCGGUCAAAGCUCAAAGAGCAAAUUACAUUUGCAGAAUUGUUAAAAUCUCCAGUUCUUAGUAGCCCCCGUACUUCAAACUUACUAUAACGGGCAUACUUGCACAAACCAUCAAAAAAAGCUCCAAGACGAUCAAUUGGAUUCUUACUUUCUCCACCCUCCACUGCUAUAUGAUAGUUCUCACGAUUCCUUAAUAUUUCCCUAUCUUGGUGUGUGGUAGCAUCAGUUUCAAGGAGCUGGAUUUUGGUUCUCAUGGAAAAGUAGGCACUUUCAAGUUGGUUCAUGUUGCUUGCCAACCUCAUUUCAUUUGUACUGCAAAUAGGUGAUAAUUUAGUCCCCAAGGUAUUCUUUGAACACUUCCUCCUCUCAACCUCUUCAAUAUCUGCUUUUACACACCUAAUAUCAUCUGCUAACUUGGAGGCGUGCUUCUGCUUAUGCUCUUCUAAUUGAAUAAGGAAAUGCAAUAACAGCUCUGAUUCAGUAUCAUCUUGGUCAAUGGAAGAUGACAAUUCUUUUGCAGAUACCUCCUGCAAUCCUUUAAGCACUUCAGAUUGUAGGAUUUCCCUUGUUGUUGGUCGUGAUGAAGGUUCAGGAUGAAGUAACCAGAAGCAGAAUCCAGCUUCCUUUGGAUUUUCUGAUAAAAAAUGAGGAGGAAGAAUUCUUUGACGCAGGUCUGACAUUGCUGUUGCAUGUCCUCUUUCCGAAUCAAAAUGACCAAGCAACUCAAAUAGUAGAACACCCAGACUAUAUAUAUUUGAUGAUAUAGUGCAGAUUCCCUUACUCAGCUCCUCAGGGCUUGCAUACCACUUCUCUUCUGACC
This 3937-nucleotide unclassified non-coding RNA is filed under the name Hevea brasiliensis (rubber tree). Lineage: Eukaryota; Viridiplantae; Streptophyta; Magnoliopsida; Malpighiales; Euphorbiaceae. The record is from RNAcentral.